RNAcentral lists this ribosomal RNA (468 nucleotides) under uncultured bacterium. RNAcentral's name for it is "partial 16S ribosomal RNA". It matches the Rfam family "Bacterial small subunit ribosomal RNA", at positions 28 to 507 of the family's 1533-position model. The record is from RNAcentral.
GACGAACGCUGGCGGCGUGCUUAACACAUGCAAGUCGAACGGAAAGGCCCUGCUUUUGUGGGGUGCUCGAGUGGCGAACGGGUGAGUAACACGUGAGUAACCUGCCCUUGACUUUGGGAUAACUUCAGGAAACUGGGGCUAAUACCGGAUAGGAGCUCCUGCUGCAUGGUGUGGGUUGGAAAGUUUCGGCGGUUGGGGAUGGACUCGCGGCUUAUCAGCUUGUUGGUGGGGUAGUGGCUUACCAAGGCUUUGACGGGUAGCCGGCCUGAGAGGGUGACCGGCCACAUUGGGACUGAGAUACGGCCCAGACUCCUACGGGAGGCAGCAGUGGGGAAUAUUGCAGAAUGGGCGGAAGCCUGAUGCAGCAACGCCGCGUGCGGGAUGACGGCCUUCGGGUUGUAAACCGCUUUCGCCUGUGACGAAGCGUGAGUGACGGUAAUGGGUAAAGAAGCACCGGCUAACUACGUG